Molecule: ribosomal RNA, 492 nt
Filed under: uncultured bacterium
Lineage: Bacteria
Description: partial 16S ribosomal RNA
Rfam family: Bacterial small subunit ribosomal RNA
Source: RNAcentral
GAUGAACGCUAGCUACAGGCUUAACACAUGCAAGUCGAGGGGAAACGGCAUCGAAAGCUUGCUUUUGAUGGGCGUCGACCGGCGCACGGGGGAGUAACGCGUAUCCAACCUGCCCAUCACUUGGGAAUAACCUUGCGAAAGUAAGACUAAUGCCCAAUGACAUCCCACGAAGGCAUCCGAAUGGGAUUAAAGAUUUAUCGGUGAUGGAUGGGGAUGCGUCUGAUUAGCUUGUUGGCGGGGUGACGGCCCACCAAGGCAACGAUCAGUAGGGGUUCUGAGAGGAAGGUCCCCCACAUUGGAACUGAGACACGGUCCAAACUCCUACGGGAGGCAGCAGUGAGGAAUAUUGGUCAAUGGGCGAGAGCCUGAACCAGCCAAGUAGCGUGCAGGAUGACGGCCCUAUGGGUUGUAAACUGCUUUUAUAAGGGAAUAAAGUGGGUCACGUGUGACUUUUUGCAUGUACCUUAUGAAUAAGAACCGGCUAAUUCCGUG